Molecule: transfer RNA, 72 nt
Filed under: Camelus bactrianus (Bactrian camel)
Lineage: Eukaryota; Metazoa; Chordata; Mammalia; Artiodactyla; Camelidae
Also listed under: 1 other name
Rfam family: tRNA
About the family: Transfer RNA (tRNA) molecules are approximately 80 nucleotides in length. Their secondary structure includes four short double-helical elements and three loops (D, anti-codon, and T loops).
Source: Rfam by way of RNAcentral
GAGGGUAUAGCUCAACGGUAGAGCACAUGCUUAGGAUGCACAAGGUCCUGGAUUCAGUCCCCAGUACCUCCU